AUCCAGCCGCGGAGUCUCAAGUAAGACGAAACGCGCGUCCCGGAU
RNAcentral lists this non-coding RNA (45 nucleotides) under Trichobilharzia regenti. The record is from RNAcentral. Lineage: Eukaryota; Metazoa; Platyhelminthes; Trematoda; Strigeidida; Schistosomatidae.